GGGGGGGAGGACCGCCGGACAGUUCGUGACGUUUUGGCCCUCUCAAAAGCCAACAACCCCAACCUAGUCUUUCUCUGCGAGACUAGACAUGAUGCAACUAAAGUGGAGAAAAUGAGCUGGAGGUUGGGCCGAAAAGGCUUCCACGGAGUCAGUAGUGAUGGAAGAAGCGGCGGGCUAGCUCUGUUUUGGGAUGAAAAUCUUACAGUUACAGUGCUUGAAUCUUGUAAUAGGUUCAUUGAUGUUCGUAUCCUUGAAGGAGGCUCGGGUAUUUCAUGGAGAGGUACCUUUGUAUAUGGGGAGCCGAGUGUGGAAAAUCGUCAGCGUAUGUGGGAUCAUCUGUGCUGGUUGCGUGCAGUUUCGCGAGAGCCAUGGGCUGUAUGUGGCGACUUCAAUGAAGCACUCUGGCAGCACGAGCAUCUAUCAAGAUCAGCUCGAGCGUUGGCACAAAUGCCAGCGUUCAGGGACUGUUUACAAACAUGCGAGCUAGAGGACCUCGGGUUCUCUGGUCUCCCUUUCACAUACGAUAAUGGUCAGGAUGGAAAUCACAAUGUACAGGUCCGCCUCGAUCGGGCUUGUGUGGAUGAGGCGCUAUGUGAUAUCUUCCCGGCGGCACGGGUACUGCAUCUGGCUACCUCCUGCUCAAGCCAUAGUCCACUUUUGAUCAAUCUAGAAGGAGUGCAAGAACCGAGACGCCGGGCGUCAAUUCCACGUUAUGAGAUCAUGUGGGAGCGAGACCUCAAGCUGUAA
Molecule: ribosomal RNA, 747 nt
Filed under: Triticum aestivum (bread wheat)
Lineage: Eukaryota; Viridiplantae; Streptophyta; Magnoliopsida; Poales; Poaceae
Description: partial small subunit ribosomal RNA
Source: RNAcentral